Molecule: ribosomal RNA, 253 nt
Filed under: uncultured bacterium
Lineage: Bacteria
Description: partial 16S ribosomal RNA
Rfam family: Bacterial small subunit ribosomal RNA
Source: RNAcentral
UACGUAGGGGGCUAGCGUUGUCCGGAAUCAUUGGGCGUAAAGAGCGUGUAGGCGGCUUGGUAAGUCCGCUGUGAAAGUCCAGGGCUCAACCCUGGAAAGCCAGUGGAAACUGUCAAGCUAGAGUCCGGAAGAGGCGAGUGGAACUCCUGGUGUAGCGGUGAAAUGCGCAGAUAUCAGGAAGAACACCAAUGGCGAAGGCAGCUCGCUGGGACGGUACUGACACUGAGAAGCGAAAGCGUGGGGAGCGAACAGG